This is a long non-coding RNA of Bos taurus (domestic cattle), 772 nucleotides long. The record is from Ensembl. NCBI's taxonomy places the organism in Eukaryota, Metazoa, Chordata, Mammalia, Artiodactyla, Bovidae.
AUUUUCUUUGGAUUGUUGCCCAAACUCACAGGGGAAAAUGUAAGGAAAUCUUGUCAGACAGUGGCUUAGCAAGGCUGCGUGGCCUACUAGCCAGGACACAGGGAGAAAGUUUGAAAGUACGACAAGCUUCAGGGACAAGCAUCCUCACAGUGUGUUCAAACAUACACGUGCAAAGAUGCAUUGCUUAUAAAAGAAAGACCCAAAACUGUAAACAGCCCAUCAGAAGGCAACCCGCUAAACACAGUGGGUCUCCAUCCACACAAGGGAAUGACAAGUGGCAUGGUGAUUCAACACAAAACUAAACAAAGCAAAGCAUCAUGAAGUUGGCUGUGUUUCCUGGCCCAGAAAGAGGUCCUCAAUAUAGGCGUUCUUGGCGCAGCGUUUGACCGUGGGGGUGGUUGGAUUGUUUGAAAGAGGGAGGCGUGAGGGGAACUAGAGAUUGAUGACCAAGGUCAAGACGAGGGUGGGUUGCUGAUGAGGAAACAGCCUGUCUGACCACAGAGCCGACAAAGGGGAGCAGGAUUUGAACCCAGAACCCCAUGAUGCCCAUCCUCCCUUCUCGUGGCCGUGAGCCUCCUGGGUGCUGGGCACUGGCCCUGGGACUCCCAUGGUCCUCCGUCCCUGGACCUCGGGCGCCCCUGGGCCGGAGGGUUCUAGAGUGUCUUCAGGACAUCGGAGCGGGGUUAAAGCAGGUUUCCUCUUGGCCGGCCAGAGGUUCCAAGAAGCGCUGGGCCAGCCUGGCCCCUUUUCCUCCGAGGGGAUGGGGCGGGGC